Molecule: transfer RNA, 82 nt
Filed under: Podarcis lilfordi (Lilford's wall lizard)
Lineage: Eukaryota; Metazoa; Chordata; Lepidosauria; Squamata; Lacertidae
Description: tRNA.Ile
Source: RNAcentral
GUCAUUCCCCUGCAGCUCAGUUGGUUAGAGCAUGGUGCUGAUAAUGCCAAGGUUGCAGGUUCGAUCUCCGUAUGGGAUGGCU